Molecule: ribosomal RNA, 464 nt
Filed under: Vreelandella stevensii
Lineage: Bacteria; Pseudomonadati; Pseudomonadota; Gammaproteobacteria; Oceanospirillales; Halomonadaceae
Description: partial 16S ribosomal RNA
Rfam family: Bacterial small subunit ribosomal RNA
Source: RNAcentral
CCUACGGGUGGCAGCAGUGGGGAAUAUUGGACAAUGGGGGCAACCCUGAUCCAGCCAUGCCGCGUGUGUGAAGAAGGCCCUCGGGUUGUAAAGCACUUUCAGUGAGGAAGAACGCCUGGUGGUUAAUACCCAUCAGGAAAGACAUCACUCACAGAAGAAGCACCGGCUAACUCCGUGCCAGCAGCCGCGGUAAUACGGAGGGUGCGAGCGUUAAUCGGAAUUACUGGGCGUAAAGCGCGCGUAGGUGGCUUGAUAAGCCGGUUGUGAAAGCCCCGGGCUCAACCUGGGAACGGCAUCCGGAACUGUCAAGCUAGAGUGCAGGAGAGGAAGGUAGAAUUCCCGGUGUAGCGGUGAAAUGCGUAGAGAUCGGGAGGAAUACCAGUGGCGAAGGCGGCCUUCUGGACUGACACUGACACUGAGGUGCGAAAGCGUGGGUAGCAAACAGGAUUAGAUACCCCAGUAUC